RNAcentral lists this transfer RNA (71 nucleotides) under Firmicutes bacterium CAG:884. It matches the Rfam family "tRNA". From Rfam's summary of the family: Transfer RNA (tRNA) molecules are approximately 80 nucleotides in length. Their secondary structure includes four short double-helical elements and three loops (D, anti-codon, and T loops). The record is from Rfam by way of RNAcentral. Lineage: Bacteria; Bacillati; Bacillota.
GCCCAUAUAGUUAAGUGGUAUAAUAAAGCCAUGGUAAGGCUUAGUUCGCAGUCCGAUUCUGCGUGUGGGCA